Molecule: long non-coding RNA, 761 nt
Filed under: Oryza sativa Indica Group (long-grained rice)
Lineage: Eukaryota; Viridiplantae; Streptophyta; Magnoliopsida; Poales; Poaceae
Description: lncRNA OsMH63_10G003550
Source: RNAcentral
UCACACAAUCCUCCCGAUCCACAACACUACUAACUCUCUUUGUUCUUUUGCUUGGUACAGAAUGCUUAGAUGAUGUUUGGGGCCAAGGAACUAAUUUGGGUCAUGCAGAGGACAUUCAAGAAUUCAAAAACGGAACACUAAAUACAACUAGAGGUAUAGUGAUUGGGCUCCAUCCUCGGCGGCGGAUCGAGCGCACAUCGAUGGAGUCGCUCUUCUCCCCUCACCGGCAGGGACAGAUGGAGGCAGUGUGGGCCGGUGACUGUAGAUCAAGUGACGACCUUGACAAUGCAGAUGUACCAUGGGAGGGAAAACCUGCUUCACCGUGCACUCGAAUCCUCUGUGGGCGAAGAACUAGCGAAGGUUUGGAUCACGGACAUGUUGUGCCUCAGGCUUGUAUUGUGGCUAGCGACGGAGGUGUUGAUUCUGCUAUAUUAGGGCAUGCCGUUUACUCGAUCAUCUCCGUCAUCGAUGGGCUACUCGUCAGAAUAUCAGUUCCUGCUUCCCCAUGCAAGAGGAAGUUCAAGUUUGAAUCAUUGUUGGAAAAUGAUGUCUACUGUCCUAAAAAUACUCUUGCACUGUUUCAGUCUUUGGUUCACGCAAUGAACUUGAGAAAAUAUUACGGGAGUAUUCACUUCGUUCCUUCCCUAGGCUACAAGGCGCAUGGAUAUGCCAUCAAGCAAGUCGACAAUUGCACUGUAAAAUGCCAGAAACAAAAUGGGAAGUUUUUGUGUUCUUAUCAAGGUCCUUCCAUUCAAGGUUAA